AGCACUAAGCCCUGCUAAGACUGCUGAGUAAUGGCCAGGGGUGGAGGAGGACGGCGCUCCGGCAGAUGCUCCGACAUUCAGGAUUCAUUAGCACUAAGCGGCAGUACUAAGCUGGCAAAGUCAAAAACCUUUCGGGCCGGCGGGUUACGGUUACCCUAGAAAUCCCCGGAUUAGGACCGUAAUGGCAACAAAUCUUGCGUAAACAAAGGAAGGAGGACGAAUCGCUUGACUUUGCACACCCUCUAGUGCUCCCUCUCUUUCUGUCUGCCUGCGGUGCCUCUUUGUCUGCAGCCCCUGUUGUCCUUUUUGCAGCCUCAACAUGGCUGCUCGGGAUUUUAUUUCACCCCUGCCUCUCAGAGAGCGAGCGAGAGAGAGAGAGAGAGAGAGCGAGCGAGAGACGGGGCUCUCCUAUGUGUACACACACAGGGGGUAGCAAGGACUUUGGAAGCGAAUAAAGAGUAAUAUAAGGGUGAAGGACCAGGCUGGCGAAAGGCAGCUGGGACAAAGUCGCGCUUGCCUCUGUGAUCAUCCAGCUGAAGCUCGCUGCGAAGUGCUCCACUUUUCAGCACCUUUGCCAAAUUAUCGCCGUCUUGCCAAAUCGAAGUCCGCAAAAAAUAUUACAUCACCCCAGCCCAACAGCACCCCCGAAUCAGAAAUGCUAAUUGAUUUCACGUGGCCAGAAGCAAAAGUUAACGCGAAAUCGUCAGGAAAUACACAUUCACGACGACCUCCCAAAACUCGCUAAUGCAGCGCAAAUAUUUGGCAACAUUAAAUAUAUUAUGGAAAUAAUA
Long non-coding RNA from Drosophila sechellia, 791 nucleotides. RefSeq lists it as uncharacterized. The record is from RefSeq and is a predicted model, not a curated record. The transcript has 2 exons. Lineage: Eukaryota; Metazoa; Arthropoda; Insecta; Diptera; Drosophilidae.